RNAcentral lists this ribosomal RNA (493 nucleotides) under uncultured bacterium. RNAcentral's name for it is "partial 16S ribosomal RNA". It matches the Rfam family "Bacterial small subunit ribosomal RNA", at positions 29 to 507 of the family's 1533-position model. The record is from RNAcentral.
ACGAACGCUGGCGGCGUGCUUAACACAUGCAAGUCGAACGGUGAAGCGCCUUCCUUUUUGGUGGGUGUGGAUGAGUGGCGAACGGGUGAGUAACACGUGAGUAACCUGCCCCCUUCUUCUGGAUAACCGCAUGAAAGUGUGGCUAAUACGGGAUAUUCUGGGUCUGUCGCAUGAUGGGUCUGGGAAAGAUAUUGUUUCGGUGGGGGAUGGGCCCGCGGCCUAUCAGCUUGUUGGUGGGGUGAUGGCCUACCAAGGCGGUGACGGGUAGCCGGCCUGAGAGGGUGGACGGUCACACUGGGACUGAGACACGGCCCAGACUCCUACGGGAGGCAGCAGUGGGGAAUAUUGCACAAUGGGCGCAGGCCUGAUGCAGCGACGCCGCGUGAGGGAUGGAGGCCUUCGGGUUGUGAACCUCUUUCGCCAGUGAAGCAGGCCUGCCUCGUUUGUGGGUGGGUUGACGGUAGCUGGAUAAGAAGCGCCGGCUAACUACGUG